This 382-nucleotide long non-coding RNA is filed under the name Prunus persica (peach). Its description in RNAcentral is "long non-coding RNA (PPER_LNC000161)". The record is from RNAcentral. Lineage: Eukaryota; Viridiplantae; Streptophyta; Magnoliopsida; Rosales; Rosaceae.
AACAAUGUGGAUAAGAAGGAUCUUACUGGAGCCAAGGUCACCAAGUCUGCAGCCAAGAAAGGCAAAUGAAUUGUGCAUUUCGAGGUUUCACAAGGCAAAAGUCAUUUUUAUACCUGCAUGUUUCAAGUGUAUUGUGUCCAAUGUUCUUCAUUGAAACGGGAGUUCAGACUAACAAAUAGUUUCAUGAGCCUGCUACUACUAAAUUAGAUGAGAACAUGGGCCUCUGCUCUGCAUAUGUUAACAAACAUAAUUCGACACAAAAAAACUGUGUUCGUCCCUCUCGCCAAAGUUUGAAUUUUCGUUUUCGUAUUUUAAAAUAAAUUAUUUAGUCUAGUUUAAACUAUCAUUUAUAAAUAAAUAAAAAUUCUUCUAUUAAUUCUUC